This 1679-nucleotide ribosomal RNA is filed under the name Auritoglyptes bicornis. RNAcentral describes it as "eukaryotic LSU rRNA". It matches the Rfam family "Eukaryotic large subunit ribosomal RNA", at positions 92 to 1614 of the family's 3401-position model. Lineage: Eukaryota; Metazoa; Arthropoda; Thecostraca; Lithoglyptida; Lithoglyptidae. The record is from RNAcentral.
AGUGAACCGGGAUGAGCCCAGCACCGAAGCCCGUGCUCUACGAGUACUGGGCAAUGUGGUGUUCAGGAGGGUCGCCGUCUCGGCGCGGGAGCGGUCCAAGUCCCCCUUGAAUGGGGCCAUGGCCCGUGGAGGGUGCUAGGCCCGUACGUGCCGCUGACCUGCGUCGAGAUGACCUCUCCUUCGAGUCGGGUUGCUUGAGAGUGCAGCCCUAAGUAGGUGGUAAACUCCAUCUAAGGCUAAAUAUGACCACGAUACCGAUAGCGAACAAGUACAGUGAUGGAAAGUUGAAAAGAACUUUGAAGAGAGAGUUAAAUCAGUACGUGAAACCGCCAGGUGGAUUAAACGGGUGGACCCUCGAAGCUCGAACGCCAGACUUUCAGCCAGUGGGUCGUACGUCCCGCCGACAUCCGAGGCCAAUGGUCCGGCUGUCGGCGACGGUGUGCGCACUGCCGGUGCACUAGUCUGGAUUAGUAGAACGCCGCGACCAAUUGUCUGCGUUGCCGUGGCCCACGGUGGAGCCCAUCGGUGCACCUCGGUGCACUGGCGGACCCGCGGUGUCCUGGUGACCGGAUCGAUUGUCUACGCAAAGUCGGCACGCCCGCCGCACGGCGCUCGUAUCACUCGGGCGGAGGCGUGCUGCUCAACGGCGAGUAGGUCGGUGUUCCACCCGACCCGUCUUGAAACACGGACCAAGGAGUCUAACAUGUGCGCGAGUGAUUGGCAAUCACUAAUGCCAAACGCGUAAUGAAAGUGAAGGUAUAUUCUAUAUGCCGAGGGGAGACGUGUGUCAAAGCACUGCAUCCCCGGGGCGUAUCAUCCACCUAGUGGAGGUGCGCACCAAGAGCGUACACGUUGGGACCCGAAAGAUGGUGAACUAUGCCUGGCCAGGACGAAGCCAGAGGAAACUCUGGUGGAGGUCCGUAGCAAUUCUGACGUGCAAAUCGAUUGUCUGAGCUGGGUUUAGGGGCGAAAGACUAAUCGAACUAUCUAGUAGCUGGUUCCUUCCGAAGUUUCCCUCAGGAUAGCUGGUGCUCGAUUGAACGGAGUUUCAUCCGGUAAAGCGAAUGAUUAGAGGCCUUGGGGCCGAAACGACCUCAACCUAUUCUCAAACUUUAAAUGGGUGAGAAGUCUGGCUGGCUUGACUGCAGCCCGGACCUUUCGAAUCCGAGUGCCAAGUGGGCCACUUUUGGUAAGCAGAACUGGCGCUGUGGGAUGAACCAAACGUCGAGUUAAGGUGCCCGAGCGGACGCUCAUCAGAUCCCAUGAAAGGUGUUGAUCGCUAUAGACAGCAGGACGGUGGCCAUGGAAGUCGGAAUCCGCUAAGGAGUGUGUAACAACUCACCUGCCGAAGCAAUUAGCCCUGAAAAUGGAUGGCGCUCAAGCGUCCCACCUAUACUCGACCGUUGCGGUAUGACUGCACUUUUAUCGUGCUUGAGACCGCAACGAGUAGGGCGGCGCAGCGGUGAGCGUAGAAGGUUCUGGGCGCGAGCCCGACUGGAGCCGCCGCUGGUGCAGAUCUUGGUGGUAGUAGCAAAUACUCAGGAGGGAUCCUUGAGGACCGAGGUGGAGAAGGGUUCCAUGUGAACAGCCUUUGGACAUGGCUGAGUCGGUCCUAAGCCACGGGGUAAUUCCCCCUUCCCAGAUUUGUGAGCACUCACGCGACUGAAAUCCGGGUUGAC